RNAcentral lists this ribosomal RNA (402 nucleotides) under uncultured bacterium. RNAcentral's name for it is "bacterial SSU rRNA". It matches the Rfam family "Bacterial small subunit ribosomal RNA", at positions 28 to 430 of the family's 1533-position model. The record is from RNAcentral.
AUUGAACGCUGGCGGCAUGCUUUACACAUGCAAGUCGAACGGCAGCGGGGGCUUCGGCCUGCCGGCGAGUGGCGAACGGGUGAGUAAUGCAUCGGAACGUGCCCAUGUCGUGGGGGAUAACGUAGCGAAAGCUACGCUAAUACCGCAUACGCCCUGAGGGGGAAAGCGGGGGAUUCUUCGGAACCUCGCGCGAUUGGAGCGGCCGAUGUCGGAUUAGCUAGUAGGUGAGGUAAAGGCUCACCUAGGCGACGAUCCGUAGCGGGUCUGAGAGGAUGAUCCGCCACACUGGGACUGAGACACGGCCCAGACUCCUACGGGAGGCAGCAGUGGGGAAUUUUGGACAAUGGGCGCAAGCCUGAUCCAGCCAUGCCGCGUGAGUGAAGAAGGCCUCGGUUGUAAGUA